RNAcentral lists this ribosomal RNA (239 nucleotides) under uncultured bacterium. RNAcentral's name for it is "partial 16S ribosomal RNA". It matches the Rfam family "Bacterial small subunit ribosomal RNA", at positions 524 to 762 of the family's 1533-position model. The record is from RNAcentral.
GACGAACCGUGCUAACGUUGUUCGGAAUCACUGGGCUUAAAGGGCGCGUAGGCGGGCAAGCAAGUCAGGGGUGAAAUCCCACGGCUCAACCGUGGAAGUGCCUUUGAUACUGCAUGUCUGGAGGGAGGUAGGGGCGUGCGGAACUUCCGGUGGAGCGGUGAAAUGCGUAGAUAUCGGAAGGAACACCGGUGGCGAAAGCGGCGCGCUGGACCUCUUCUGACGCUGAGGCGCGAAAGCCA